Molecule: long non-coding RNA, 236 nt
Filed under: Medicago truncatula (barrel medic)
Lineage: Eukaryota; Viridiplantae; Streptophyta; Magnoliopsida; Fabales; Fabaceae
Description: long non-coding RNA (MTRU_LNC007104)
Source: RNAcentral
UAGCCUUGAUCUCCAAAAAAUGACGCGACAGAAAUGGCGACUUCACUGGGGACCCCCUAAGAGGGUUGAGCCUAACUUGGCUUUAUUUAAUUCUUUGUGCUAUAACUUGCUUAAAACAAAAACAAAAUAAAGGAUGGAAAUACUUGUAUAUAUGUUCUUCCUUCCUCUUUCUUCUUUCUAACGUGAGUGGUGAGAUAAGUCCUACACCCGGGCUUGAGUGAAAUAUAAGAUAGGAC